Molecule: ribosomal RNA, 401 nt
Filed under: uncultured bacterium
Lineage: Bacteria
Description: bacterial SSU rRNA
Rfam family: Bacterial small subunit ribosomal RNA
Source: RNAcentral
UGGGGAAUUUUGGACAAUGGGCGCAAGCCUGAUCCAGCCAUGCCGCGUGCGGGAAGAAGGCCUUCGGGUUGUAAACCGCUUUCAGAAGGAACGAAACUGACGGUACUUUCAGAAGAAGGUGCGGCCAACUACGUGCCAGCAGCCGCGGUGACACGUAGGCACCAAGCGUUGUCCGGAUUUAUUGGGCGUAAAGAGCUCGUAGGCGGUUCGGUAAGUCGGGUGUGAAAACUUUGGGCUCAACCCAAAGCGUGCACUCGAUACUGCUGUGACUAGAGUUCGGUAGGGGAGCGGGGAAUUCCUAGUGUAGCGGUGAAAUGCGCAGAUAUUAGGAGGAACACCGGUGGCGAAGGCGCCGCUCUGGGCCGAAACUGACGCUGAGGAGCGAAAGCGUGGGUAGCAAA